AAAGGACAGCCGAGCUUUGCCAGGAAAUGGCGUCGUAGGGGUGCGGUCUGUGAGCAGGAACUCCAGUUGGAAAGAUAUGAGAAUAGGUCAGCAAGGACAAGUGCCAAAUACUGGAAGAGAGGGAGUCAUUUUGUCAGAAAUUGUGCCAAGAUUUCCAUAAAGUAAAUUAAAUCCUGGAGAUGUUCCAUAAGACAAUCAAAGUUUGGCUAUGUGACCAUCAGCAACAAUAGUGGUGAGGAGAGGCCUUCAAGAUUUGAAGUUUUUUCCAAGUAGGAUGAUGAUGUGAAAGGAAAACUGCAUGAAACAUUAGUAAACAGAUGGCAUCAUUUCAUCUCAUGCUCUGAAAGUGACAAGUGACACUGUGGCACUGACUUUAUUGUAUUAGCCUGUGCUGGCUGUGUUGAAUUUAUAAACCAUGAAGCAACUUUCUUUGGCUCUACCUCACACAACAGAAGGUGAAGUAAGAAAGCACAGGGAAACUAAUAUAAGACUUGAGAUACUCCUGAUGUAACUUUGAGCAGGAAUGCAGUAUAAGUAAGAUCUUCUCUGAUCACCAUGUAGUAGCACUAAAAACGGUUGCUGUUCUGUGGUUUUUUUCGUCCCUCCCAGCAUGCCAGGGAACACAGAGACCUGUGGCUGACUCACAGGCUGAUGUUGUCAUUUUGGCACACAGUCAGUAAAAUGCUGCCAGUUCUGUCUUAUUGCAUAGGAUCUGUUUGCCUGGAGCUUUUAAAUCUUUUCCAGAGCUGACAGUUUUGGUGGAAAGGUUACCUAAACAUCCCCAAACAUUUGACUUUAAAACUGUGAGGCACAAAUUACUUAAUCUCUCAACAGAGUGAAAAAUAUUCCAAAAAUCCAGUACGGAAUGUUUAUUGUUUUUGUUAGUGCUUAUUUUUCCCCUCUGUUAUGAUAGGCACUCCAUUUUGUUGAAGGGAAAAAAUAUGCUGUGGAAGACCUUUGAACACCCCCCACACACACCCUAACCAUUAUUACUUUUUCAUCUGUCUUCCUAGAUGUGUGAGACAUGAGCAAUGUGGUACAGGUUGUAAGGAGAGAAAGCAAUAUUAAGACUUGCAGUAGAUGGUUGAUUCAGAAGUGGUUUGAUACUGAUGAAAUGGAUCUGCACCUGCUGAAUAGGACCUCAAAAUAAAGCUCACAAAUGCACAGAUAUGACUUAGAUUUAUUUUAAUACAUAGGCUUUUUGAUCCAGGCAAGUUUUAUUGGCCAAUAGUCUUCAACUCUGGAGUAGUUUUUGCAGUAUUUUACUGCUCUUUCUACUACUAUCGCUGUCAAGUCCUGAGAGCAACAUACUUUUGAGUCAGUAUGAGAAAUUUUGGAAAUACAAAACAUUAUUAGUAUCACUUUUUUUCUUGUAUCUUUUGUAAAGGCAUUACAAAAGCCUAUUUUCCAUCCCAAGCAGAGUGUUAUUUUCAUAGCUUACUUUAAGCUGAAGGGGAGAUUCUGGAGGAAUUCUCUGUAAUGAAAUUACUUUGCUGCAUUAAGAAUUAUGAUAUAUAUAUAUUUUUUCAGUGACUUUUCAAGAGAAUCAUCCUUUUGGGUUGAUUUGAAAGGUUGAAGGAGGAGCCAAGAUAACAAAAAUCUAUUUCAAGUAAUAAGUGUAUGUUCUUGCUUCAUGAUUCCUGUAGUAACUCUUCCUGUACAUAUGAAUGAAAGACCUGGAGUAUAUUUUUUCUACCUAAAAAUUUUAACAGCUAUUUUCAAGGAAAUAAGACAAUUUUUCAUGCUUUCAACACUCUAUGGUGGUGAGUAGUUUAUUAAGCAGGUCUCAUAGGUCUCACUUAAGGAUUAUUUUAGCAUAGGAUACAGGGAAAUGAGGCACCUUCGAUGUCGAGGUCAUGCAUGUUGGUGAAAACGUUCUUUCAGAUGCCUUCCCUUUGCUCUGAUGCAGGAUUUUGUUGUUCUUUUUUUUCUCACUGGUUGCGUCUCAGGAUGCAUUUCUUCAUGCUUCUUCCAAGACCAAGCCCUCAUUAACAUUUAGACUCUAAUUGCUGCUGCUGAGAAUAGCUUUCUCUCAGCCAUUGUUUUUCUUUGAGGAAUUUUAAUUGGAGACCUAGAACAAUUGCACGUGGCUUUGGUGGAGAUGAGAGGGAGAAAACAGAGAAAAGCAGCAUGUUUGUGUAUCUCCAGAUAGGAUUUAACAGCCUUUAUUUACUAGUUACCUAGGAUUGGAUUUAAAUAUGAAAGUAUUUUCUUCAGGUUGCAAUGUUUACUACAGCAGUAGAUCUUCCCUGUGGCUUAAUGCCAGCUUCCAAAAUCAGUGGAGAUUGCUCUGUCACACCAAAAUAAAUCUGACCGUGUCUUAAUGUACUGAUCAAACUUGACUCUAAAUACAUGCCUGUUGUAUAUAGGAUGAAGACUCAAGAGCAGCAAAUUCAAUUUAAUUUGCUUAUGCUUUUUCAGAGGAAAAAAAAAAAAAACACAAAAAAGGCAUAUAUUGUCAGGUAAAAUUUGCAUGUAAACAGGAAUGCUUUUUCAAAAUCACAAAACAAAUAGGAAAAUUAUGCUUCAGUGCAUUUAUGAUUGUUGUCAGUUUCUUACAUCAGAAGGUUUACAUACGUGAGAAGAGCAUUUUGUCUGAAAUGAUCUUCUUUAGGAAAGGAUUUUUGCUGUUUUUUAGCCUUUAUCCAUCUUACAGGUUAUAGGAUGUCUUUUAAAACUCAAUAUUUAAAUGUACCCUGCAGCAGAGCACAUUUGGACCCUAGAACCUGGAAUGAUCUGUUUUAAUCAUAGGAAUACAGGAAAUCCAGCAUUCCUGGGCAGUGACAGAAAGAUGCAGUUCAGACUUCUUUAGAAAUCGUAAAUGGGUAAAUCACGAUUAAUAUUUUCUAGGAAUGUGUGCAAACUGCUGCAAGACAAUGAAUCAAGCUUAAAUUAGUUUAACCAGUUGAAAGAUGACUUCCAUAAUGUACUUCAUUAUCAUGAAUAAUUCUGCCCCUUUGAUUGUAAGAUAGUAGUAAAUAAUGAAAGAAUUUAGAUGGAAAUUAGGCAAUGCUUCACUUUGUUUAAUAACAGUGCCUUUGAAUUUCAUCCUGACCUUUAACAAAGAUUUUGUAUGAACACACAACAGGUUGCAAAUGGGGGAAGGGCUGGUUUAAGGGGGAAAAACAGAACUGUAAAGAAAUGCAGAGGAGAAAAUGAGAAACAUUUUGUUACCUGAUUGCUGAGAUUUCCCUUGAACCUUUAAAGUCUUCUAAGAAACAGAAGCAAAAUGAAAGAUUAGGGCAAAUUUUAUGAGGCUCUUCUUUUGGAUAACUAAAGUACUAAAUGGAUUGGUAAGUGAAUGCUCUCCUGUAUGUUUUGAUGAGUCAAAAGACGUUGCAUGGAGAAUUAGAACAGAUGUUUUUAUUAUGAUUUUCAGUUGAUAUCUCAGUAUUCUUCUAAAGAGGCUUUUUGUUGUACAGUAGAAGAAGAGGCCUAUUCCAUGUAAUUAAGUGUCAUCUGGAAUGUGGGGAUUGUAAUAUACGAUGUUAUUGCUGAUGUAAUGGUUUGAAUUGAAGACUUCUAUGGACUGUGUAUUUUUUAUUAUUAGUUUAACUCUCUCUCAGACUCUCCUGGACUAGAACUUGUACAUAAUUAAAAAAAAAA
Molecule: non-coding RNA, 3606 nt
Organism: Meleagris gallopavo (turkey)
Lineage: Eukaryota; Metazoa; Chordata; Aves; Galliformes; Phasianidae
Source: RefSeq, a predicted model, not a curated record